Molecule: long non-coding RNA, 2883 nt
Organism: Physeter macrocephalus (sperm whale)
Lineage: Eukaryota; Metazoa; Chordata; Mammalia; Artiodactyla; Physeteridae
Exons: 5
Source: RefSeq, a predicted model, not a curated record
CGCGGCCGAAGAGGACGAAGCCGCGCCGCGCGGAGCGGGAUCAGCCUGGCUGUCCUCUGUAUCCGCUCAACCUGACGCAGGAGCUGUCCAUCCGCAGAGGGUUUGCCUCUGAGAGGGGAUCCCAGGCCGGAGAGCAUCUGUCCUCAGCGCCUCCUCCCCAGAGCUGAGGACGUUUGCCAUCCUGAGCAGGAGGCACCUGGAAGCAUCUGCUUAUGAACUGACCCCACAGCCUCCCAGGGACCAGACCAGAGACGGUGUCCAGAGCUUGGAAGUCUCAGAGGGACUCCUGGGAUGACGUCUUUCAAGCUGGAGGGUUGUAUGGCCUGAGACUGUUCAUCUUAGCUGCGUGAUCGAACCCACAAACAAUCAAAAUGUAUUCAUUCAACAUGCAUUUAGAGAAAAAGGUUUGCUCAGCAAGUGGGUAACAUGUAGAAGAUCAAAAGAAGAGGCAUCAUCCUACUAUUAGUCAGGACUCCUCUGGUUGUGAGUAACAGAAGUCAAGCUCCUGCUCCGGUGAAAAGGAACCUGCUUGGAUGCUCACAUCGCCAGGGGAGGGAGGGCGCGGGGGCAGCCAGCCUCAGCAGCGGCUGGAGUUGCAGAUCCAAAUGGCACCAGGAGCUGGGCUCGUGAUCAGCUCUGUGGAGGCCCAAGUGCCAGUUCUGUUGGCCCAGACUGGCUACCUGCAGGGGACACAGCUGCUGACAGCCUCCGUGCCUUUGCUACCAGCGAAAGACCGAUUCACGUUCUCUUUGACCCCACAUUUUUAAAAAAUCCUUGGAAGUUUAGGGAUUUCCCUAGUGGUCCAGUGGUUAUGACUCCGCGUUUCCACUGCAGGGGGCACGGGUUCCAUCCCUGAUCGGAGAACUAAGAUCCCACAUGCUGCGCACGGUGGCUGAAAAAAAAAAUCCUUGGAAGUUUAAGCAGGGGUGAGAUCAGUGUUUGCAGAUUGAGAGCACACCACAGCCUUCUCUUCCUGCUUCAGAUCCCUCCAUGUGAUAGAACAAAUAUUAGUAAAUAUCCAUGUAGGCAAAGAUGCCUUUAGUGAGUCAUGAACCAUGAGGAAUUCCCAAAGGGUGGAGUGAAAAUGGGAUUAGACUGAAAAAGGAGACAAUGGCCAAAAUUGUCCCCAGGAGGUAGAGAGGUUCUAGGUGUGCUCUGAGCCUAGAUGUGACAGAUGAGGAGCAGGAAGGGAUUCUGGGGUGACCACCACAGUUUGGGGGAUAAAUGAGGAAGAAGAAUGAAUACAACUGUUAAGUUUCCUCUCUUGUUGAGGAGGAAAGGUAGACCCUUUUUAAUCUAAGCACUGUAGAGAAUUACAUGUUUAAGUACAUGUGUUUAAAUAUUUAAAGAUUGCCGCUGGAAAAAGGGUCAACAAACUAUGGCCUGCAGUUCAGAUCUGGGCCACCAUUUGUUUGUGUAAAUAAAGUUUUAUUGGAACACAGCCAUGCCUGUAUGUUAAUGUAUUCUCUAUGGCUGCUUUCAUGCUAUAGUGGCAGAGCUGAGUAGUUGCAACAGAGGCUCUAUGGCCCACAAAACCUAAAAUAUUUACUAUAUGGCCCUUUGUGGAAAAAGUUUGCUGAUCUCUGCUCUAGAAAAAUGAAAAUAAAACAUAACGUCCAAUCUAUUGUAGAAAAAUAGAUGUAUCUAACCAAACAAAAUGAAUCCAAUAAAAGGAAAAAUAAAAGAAAUAUGGUAAAUAAAUAUGGAAUUAGUCUAAACAUCAGUAAGCACAAUAAAUGUGAACAAGUUAAAUUCACUAAUUAAACAAUAGUCUCAAAACUUGUUUAAAAUUUUUUUUAAAAUAAAUUUUAUUUAUUUAUUUAUUUAUUUUUGGCCGCAUUGGGUCUUCGUUGCUGCACGUGGGCUUUCUCUAGUUGCGGCGAGUGGGCUUCUCAUUGCGGUGGCUUCUCCUGUUGCGGAGCUCAGGCUCUAGGUGCGCGGGCUUCGGUAGCUGUGGCACGUGGGCUCGGUAGUCGUGGCUCGCGGGCUCUAGAGCACAGGCUCAGUAGUUGUGGUGCACAGGCUUAGUUGCUCCGCGGCAUGUGGGAUCUUCCCAGACCAGGGAUCGAACCCGUGUCCCCUGCACUGGCAGGCGGAUUCUUAACCACUGCGCCACGAGGGAAGCCCUAAAAAAUUUUUAAAUGAGACUGAAAAAAAAAAAGAGCUUAAGUAUGAACAUAAAAGGAUAAGGAAAGAAACCCCUAAUGAACCAUAGCAAAGAAGGCAAAUAUAGCAAUAUUAAUAUCAGAUAAAGGAGAACUAAAAGUGAAAAAUAUUUUAGGUAUAAAGGAAUUGUUUAAACCUGUAAAAGGAAUAUUCCACCAAAAAGUUAAAAGCCCAUCGACUUUCUGUACUUAACAAGGUAGCUUCAAAUACAUUAAAUAAAAAUUGAUGAUAUUAUGAGUGAAAAAUGACAAAUAUAGAGUAACAAUGGUGGGCUUUAAAAAUCUGCAAGAUAUCCCUUGUGGUGUAUAUGUAGACGUACACAGGUGAUGAAAUUGUAUAGAAUUUAAUACAUACACACACCAUACAUACCAGUAAGUACAAUAGAACUGGGGAGAUGGGAUUAAAAUCUGUAGAUCGUAUCAAUGUCAAUAUUCUGGUUGUUAUAGUUUUAUAAAAAGUUAUCAUUGGGGGAGACUGGCAGUGUACAAGGGAUUUCUCUGUGUUAUUUCUUACAACUGCACGUGAAUCUGCAGUGAUCUCAAUGAAAUUUUCAAUAGAAAAUUCUUCAAAGACAACAUAUUAGGUACAAAAAACCAAGAAACUCUUAGGUUAAAUGAGGAGGUCACAGUGAACAUUUUAAACUACAGUAUUUUAAUGAAUGUCAGUUAGAGCCCUAAAUGUGAAAGCCUAUGGAUGAAACCAAAUCAGUGCUCAAAG